CGGCCACCGGAACCCUGUUUCCAGUUGAUGGAGAAUUGACACUGUUUGCACACCACCCACGGGUUUAUUUGUUUAACCAGUGAUAUUUGUAGGGGCAAUGGAAAUUCAUUGAAUUCGUAGGUUGGAGUUAGGUCAUGGAACAACGAGCAGGCAAAAUAAAAUUUGUUUCUAAGGACAACGACUACGAUUGCAAAGAGAUAUAAGGCGAUUCGAAUAUUGCCUCUGUCCAGGUAUAAGAAAUAUUCCGAGAAACGAUGGUUUAUUAUGUAAAUGGCAGAAUGGUUUCAUGGCUUCAAAAAGAAACUUUAUACCUAAGUCCAGACGGAAGAAAAAAUACAUAAUAAGAAGCAAAGUAUCGGAGAGAUCUUUGCAACGCUCUUUCAUAACUACAAUUUAAACGAUAAAAUUUAAUUAUGUAAAUUGAGAAGAGACUGGCUUGAAAUGAAACGUUACGUAUG
RNAcentral lists this unclassified non-coding RNA (458 nucleotides) under Bombus terrestris (buff-tailed bumblebee). RNAcentral describes it as "misc RNA ENSBTSG00005023390.1". Lineage: Eukaryota; Metazoa; Arthropoda; Insecta; Hymenoptera; Apidae. The record is from RNAcentral.